AAGGAUGAAUGCACAUCCAUCUGGAGUUCUGGUAGACAAUUGUGUGAUGCUGUUAGUUUGACAGGAAAACCAUGCAUGCAUAAAAGACACAGCGUUGGAACUGAUGAUUUGCUUGUAACCGACGAGAUCAAGCCACAUUCCAGUGGAUUUGUAUUCCUUCAUGCAUGUGCAUGUGGUCGUUCAAGACAACUACGACCCGAUCCUUUUGAUUUUGAAACAGCCAACAUUUCUUUCAAUUGUUUUCCAGAAUGUGACAAGCUUCUUCCUGCACUACAUAUCCCUCAAGGUAGUGUUGAAGGGCCUAUUAAACCUUCUUGUUGGAGAUUGAUACGUGUUGGUGGUGCAAGGUACUAUAACCCUGCAAAAGGUCUACUCCAAAGUGGCUUUGGUACAACUCAGAAAUUCCUUUUAAAAUGGUCAAUUGUUCUUGGAAAACAGAAGAUGAGCAAUGGUUUGUCUUUGAGUAAUCAGCUACAAGUUUAUUCAAAUAAAUUAAGUGGCAGCGACAAAGAUGAACCUCUUGCAGGUAAAGACACAAAGAAGGUUGGUGAUGCUCAUUUUCAGGCACAAGAAGUGCAGAGUGAAGUUGAAGUACCAAAAAGGCAGCCUUUAUUAAACAAUAAAGCUAGUGACAAAAUGAUGGGAGUUUCCAACUUGACAAUGAGAAAACCUUUUUCUGAGGUGGUUGCUGGAUCAGCUGGAACACAUUCAGGGUUUCCUCCUCUUCAGACCAGAAAACAACCUCUGCCAGGUUCUGGGAAGGGAAUUAAGCAGCAUGAUACAAGAGAGAAGGGUUUGUCAAAGGCCAUGGAAAUUGCCAAUAAUCAAGGGUCUCAAAAACUUCCAAAUAUUGCUACUAUUGAUCAUGCAACCAAUGGGGUUGCAAUUAAUACUAAUGCUGAUGCAAAUAGUGAUCCACCAUUACAGAUAGGUAGCAAUGAUGUUCCAUUGAACAUGGCUACUGGAGGUAAGGUGAGAGAAUUUAUUCCUCUGAAGCAUGUAUCGAUUUAUGUUGGGUUCGAGCAUGAGUGUCCCCAUGGGCACCGGUUUAUAUUGACGCCAGAUCAUCUCAAAGGCCUUGGUUCCCCUUAUGCAAUGCCUGAAGAAUCUCUUGUUACAUCAUCCAUUGAGAACUCAGAUCAUAAUAUGGCAGAUUCUUCUAAAUCUGGUAAGAAUGGUGGUCAUGCUAGGGCACGCAAACAGUCAAACGGAACUAUUAACAAUGCUUUUCGCAUGACAAGUAAUCUGGAAGAGUCAAAAGUGAGAAGCACCAAUAAAAUUGUAUAUGAAAAUGGACAGAUGCAAGUUUCCAAUAUAUUAAGAGAACAAAAUCUCAGUGAAGCUAAAGGUACUUCUUCAGUGAUGGACCUUGCAGCUGGUUUUCAGUCUGUUAAUCUUGAUGAUGGUGGAACUGCUUUCUCCCUCGUGAAUAGAAGUCUACCCAUUUACAUGAACUGCCCUCACUGCAGGGAGUCAAGGAAGAAAAAAGAUACAAUGAAUGUUAAAUUUGCUAGCACUAUUUCACAGCUGCAAAGGAUCUUUUUGGUAUGAAAAAACGUCUUUUAUCAUCUUAACAAUUAAGUGCGACUGUGAGUGUCUGAAUAUAUUUAUCUUCUCUUAGUAAACAGUUAUAUGCCUCAUGUAAAAUUGAAUUUCUAUUCUUUGAUGCAUCAAUGCAAGUUUAAAGGUUUUCACAGGAUGAUUACUUGCCUAAUUGUACUUCCAGCGGCCAGUAAAGAUUACUAAUAAUACUUGUCUUGGUAAUGAAACUAGAUCUCUGGAAAAGUUUGUUAGGCUAUAACAUGUAUGAAGUCAGAGAUAAUAAAGGAAUAGCAUCUCUAAGAUAGAACUUAGAAAUGGGGUUGGUCAUGCAUAUUGAUAGUCAUCAGUGCGAAAUUAGUCCAAGCUUGUAAAUGAUAUUAUUCUUCUCUUUGCAUUUAUCUGACUCACUUUGUCAUAUCUUUAUCUUGUCUUCUUUUGGUAACUUAGAUUCAGAUUUAUACCACCAUGGUAAAGUGAAUUUUUAGAAGCACGUUUAAAUAAAAGUUACUGCAUUGCCAUGCAUGUCCAUGAGAGCCUUCUUUUAUACUUUCUACAUCACAUGUGAAUGGACACCCAAGGAGAUUAAUUACAUUUUUUUAUUCCCUAAGAUCUACAUUGCCAGUGUGGUUUUUAUGAAUUCAGAUACUGUUGAUUAUUUUAUUGUGACUGCGCAUCUUAAUUAUUGUGUUGCUCAAUGUGUAGGUCACGCCUGCCUUUCCAGUAAUUUUAGCAGCCUGCCCAGUUGUGCAAUUUGAGGUAUGCACCAGUUGCUGGAAAUGUGCUUUCAUCAUUAUUAGGAUUUUUCAUUACAAACUUGCUUUAUUUGUUUCCUGGGACAUUUGAAUAUGAGUUGUCUAUUUAAGGUUCAAAACGACUCGUUUAAAUUUUUAAACUAUUUAAAGUGUUUACUGCUAUCCAAGGUUGCACCAAGCUGGCAUCAGGCACUGUAUUCUUUAAAUGACCAUAGUCAUCAACUCAACAUAGAUUCAGGUGUUGCUGUUGCAAAUGUAAAAUUGUUUGGUGUGCAAGAAAUUCACAACUACUGUUUGAUAAUUGACUCAACUGUGACUGCUUAUUGCCCAGCUUGUGGACUAUAAAAAAUAGGACUUGCUUCCAUUGCAUGCUUGGAUCAUUAUGACAUAUUAUCUUAAAUACGUGAUGGUAUGUUAUCAUAUAUUAGCUUUGAAUCAUUCAAGUGAUUAGAAUUGAAUAAUAUAGAUAUGGUUGCAGCUUAAUUUGGUGUAUUCAUCAAUAUGUUAUUUGGAACGGUUUUCAAUUGAUCAAAGAUAAUUUGGCUAAUUCACAGGAUUCAUGCCUCCCUUCAACAGUCCCAGAUUGCAAAGAAAAGCUGCAAUUUGGCCUUGGCUGUCGGGUAAUUUUGCCUCCAGACAGUUUUCUCUCACUCAGGCUUCCCUUUGUUUAUGGUGUAAAGUUGGAUGAUGGAAAAGUGCAUCCUCUUAUGCCUUUCGAGGAUCAACCGCAACUGACUGCCUGGAUUACCAAAGGCACCACAUUGCAGGUUGUAUCUCAAGGAAGCAAUCUUGCUGGAGUAGCUAACAUGUAGUGAAAUUUGGUGAACCUGAGGAGUGAUGAUAAAAAUAGUAUGGUUCACUUUGCGCUUUCCGAGGCAGAUUGCUCAGCUAGCCUGCUGUCUGGUAAAUAUUUUUUAUAACAAAUACGCUCUUUGCUGAAGUCCACAAUUAACUUUUGUUAAGAUGAUAGAAAGAAAGAAAAGGGUGAAGUUCAAAAUUUAUCCUAUGCGUUUGACAAAAACAAACUUAUUAAUUUUUUGUAUCUACAAUGUUUUGGCAAGUGGAAUUAUUUCUUCUUGACCAAAUGAGACUAUUAAAGGUGACAGAAUCUCAUGAGUCAUGCACUAUAGUGCUUCCUUCUGCAUCUUAAAUGUGGCGUUAUGUGGAUGGAUCUAACCUGGUGCCUAUUUAAUGCAUUUAAUGGUAGUUGAUGUAUCUGAUUUUCACAAAGCAUCUUGUUUCUUACUCUAGAACAUGUAAUCUUGGGAAAGAUACCAUGAAAAAGGAAAUCCAUGGGUUUUAAAAUUAGUAAAUGUGAGAUGUAAGUGUGAAAUAUUAGUAAGGUGAUUAGCAUCUAUUAUAUGGCCCUAAGUUACUUUGCACUUUACCAUCUAGACUUCAUAAUAGUUGAUGUGGUGAAAUUUGAAAUUUCUUUCUUCAGCACUUUAGUUUAACUCCUGCAUAAUUCCUUCUUUUAAAAGCUAAUGAUUCUACUAUAAUUGAGCUUUGUACUUGAAUUUGUUCAAGUGUUUGUGUAUAGCGCUUUUAAAUAACUCAAGAGUUCUUACUAGUUGCUUUUAUGUCUGAUUGAAACAUGAAUCAAGUUAAGCAUUUUGAUGCAUAAAAAUUUUUUUUUCUGCACUUAAAAGAGUUGGAUAUACAUAGUUAGAGGUCAAUAAAGUCCAGCAAUUGCCAGGAAUUCCAAGUUUGUAACUUUAAUUUAGCGGUUUUUCAGAUAAUUGGAUUGACCUGUGCGCCUCAAUCAUGUUGAGAUCACAUUGUCAUGCUGCUAUUCAUGGACCCAUGGUAGAUGACACUUGUGCGGGUGGCAGAAACCUUUGGUACAAUUCCUUUAUCCUUUUUUAUUUUUUGAACCUGAUCAUAAACUAUGAGAAGCCAACAAUGUUGGGUUAAUUCUUAGUACAUUAGAGCUAUCCUGUUGUGUGGCUUGGGCACUCAAUUUCUUCGAAAGUAAACUAGUUAUGCAUAUGUCUGUGUAAGUAAUCAGUCAGGCGGGAAGGUUUCAACUCAUGCCAUCUUUUUUCUUUUUUUUUGGGGAAUGCGUGCUAUAUAUUUGCCUUCUCAAAUCUCAAUUCCUUUUCAACUUCUAGUUCUAGCGUGUUUGCAUAAGAGUUCUUUAGUAUUUAGUGAGGGGGAACACGAAGUAAAAACAAGUCGAAUGGAGUCAAAAAGAACAGCAGUAUUGGAUGGAUGGAACAAUUACUUUUAGUUGCUUACACUAAGGUUCAGGUUAAUCUUCCUGCAUCUGCAGAAUACAAUUUGUUAGCAGUAUGCUGCUAGAAAAUAUUCUCAGUAAUGUUCCUUCAACUAUUUGCUAAUUGCCAUUUAUGCCAACGUUUUUGGUUCUUGUUCUU
This 4669-nucleotide long non-coding RNA is filed under the name Coffea arabica (coffee). RNAcentral's name for it is "long non-coding RNA (CARA_LNC007147)". Lineage: Eukaryota; Viridiplantae; Streptophyta; Magnoliopsida; Gentianales; Rubiaceae. The record is from RNAcentral.